This is a long non-coding RNA of Triticum dicoccoides, 941 nucleotides long. RefSeq lists it as uncharacterized. Lineage: Eukaryota; Viridiplantae; Streptophyta; Magnoliopsida; Poales; Poaceae. The transcript has 3 exons. The record is from RefSeq and is a predicted model, not a curated record.
UAUCUUUUGGUGCUGGUCUUGACAAAAUUUAAUUUGUUCCACUCUUAAAUUUGAUACACCAGUCUUCCAAAUUAUCCAUUAAAUCAUUUGUUAGCAGGGCGAAAUUAUAGAAGCUGAACCAGUUGUUCCAAAUUAUCCAGUUCAAAUGCUAUACAACACAACGAAGCUGUUCCAAUCUUAGAAGCUUCUGCAGAGUAUUUGUUUUUUGUACUACUUGGUUGACGAAAUGAUUUCCUUAUAAGCUGGGAUAAGGCGUUUGUAGUUGGUAUUUAUACACAAGCUCAAUAAUUUUCAGGCUCAUCUCAUCUCACGUUAUUUUUCGGUUUGUUGUAUGCUCACCGGCGUUCUGUUUCGAGAUAUUGAUUGGGUGUUGGGUAUGGGUGUUUGCAGGUGGGGCCUACUUUAUUCCCGGCUCUGAUGUCAGUGGACAUGCACCGUUCUUGUGUGGAUUUGAGCGUCGUGGCAUGUGGUGGCUCUUUGUCAGACGCAUCAACGGCUGGUGUUGUCACCAGGCUUCUUCUUGUGUCCAUACGAAAGCGAGGUUGUACUACCGUGAAAAUGCUCAAUCCCAUGGAGACUGCCAAGUUCCGCCUCAUCAUGAAACAGGCCAAGGCCCUCAAGAUCUGCAACAAUCAUCUCCUUCACACCAAGAAACGCCAGCCUGCAGCUACAUGGUUUGGUCAUGCCGUUAACUGCCUAUCUUGACGACAUUGACGCUGAAUUUAUCGACCUCCAAAGAAUGAGAUGUUAGAUGUCGCAGAACUCGUCGGUGAUGUUAUUGAGCAUUCACGGAAACCAAAUGUCAUAGUUUCUACCAAUGUGCGUGAACUAUUGGAAUGCCCUAUGUGUUUGGUUCACAUGUAUCCUCCAAUUCAUCAGCUAUGCCUUCUUGUUGAACUAAUCACAUUUAACAAUAGCAUCUCGGUUGCACCAUACUAGCC